AUAAUAUUUUAGUUUUCUUAUUUUUAUUUUCACUGAUAGAUACCAAAACAUGUAUAUUUAUUAGCCAGGGGAGGAUUGCAAGUAAUGGUCAUCAAGUUCAUGUAGUCGAUUUCCUUAACGAGAAACAAAGCAAGGUGUUUGGGACAGCAAGCACGUAGACAAAAAGAAGCAAAACAAAAAACAAGCCACCUACAAGCCAUAGAUUCCGAACAAGUAUAUCGACAAGACAAAGUUUUAGUCGGUCAACAAGCACAAAAUUCAACGCAAACUCAUGAAAAGUUAUCAAAAAGAAAAGAAAAUGCAUUGAUACAACCUGUAUGGAGUUUGUACGUUCCAACAAAAUCCAAUUCUUAGCUUUGGGUGACACAGCUUACAUUGUAUCUAUUCAGAAGC
Molecule: long non-coding RNA, 393 nt
Organism: Papaver somniferum (opium poppy)
Lineage: Eukaryota; Viridiplantae; Streptophyta; Magnoliopsida; Ranunculales; Papaveraceae
Exons: 3
Source: RefSeq, a predicted model, not a curated record